GAGAGCGAGAUUGAGGAAGAGGAGGGAGAGAGUUUUGGCGUCGGCCGCCCUUGGGUGCUGGGCCCCAACAGUGGGCCGCCGCCCGCCUGAGCAGUGUCGGGUCCGGCCCCGCUUGGCCAGGCCUGCACCCGGCCUGCUGGUCUCCGGGUCUCCCCACCCCGGCACCCUCCGAAUGUGGAUGCCCCAAAGCAGUGAGCGCCCCUGUGGGCAAGGGUCAGCACGGAUGCGAGAGUCCCUGGUUGCUGUGGGUGCAUGCUUAAGGAGCAGGUGGGGGAAAGGAGUGAUGAGAGAGUCACCCUCCCCUUGGCGACAUUAGCUCAGCUGCCCAGAAAGCCUGGGUGAGGGGGGGCCCCGACUGGGGGUGCUGAGCUUGCUAAGUGGGGGUGCUGAGCUGGCUAAGGGGGCACAUUACUUAGAGACCGUGGGCUUGAGGGCUAUGGUGGGGCAUGCUUGAGUCAGGGGACUUGGAGACACGUAGCAGGGGCUUCAGGACUGCAGUCUCUAGGGACAGGACAGGCCCCAGGGGCUGGGGGCUGGAAGUUCCCCGUGAAGAGGGCUCCAGGCCUCCCUUGCUGCAGGCCCGGGAGAGGUGGGCUCCGUAGAGCAGAGAAGCUGUUCCCAUGGAGCUGGGCUGCGGCUGAGGCUGCCUGGUCACACCCAGCCAAGGCCAAGCCUGGGCCGUUAGCUGGCGACCCAGGCAGCUGCCAAGCACUGCUGGCUGCAGGCAGGCAGGGCCACUGAGCACAGCUCUGGGACCCACCAUCCAUCGUCUGUCUGUCACGUGCAGCCACAGCUGAACUGCCCUCCUAGACCAUCUGGAGGCCACCAAGGACUGGGGAAGGACAUUCAAUGUGCCAGAGAGGAGUUAGGGGGAGGGGGGUGGGGCAGCAGGGACCAGCUGGGGCCCACUCCUGCCCUGGUCUCUCCACCAAACACGGGGUCAGACCUGGGUGCCCCCGGGUGUUCCCAAUGGUUCCCUGCUCUGGGAACUGCCAGUCCAGCAGGGAGAGCCUGCACCCAGGCGGGGGCCACCAGUGAGCAGUGAGUGGCCGAAGGAAGCCCAGCGGGGCAGCGUGGAGGUGCACCUUCUCUGAGGCCGUGACAAGCUGAAUUUUCCCACAAAGGAAACAGGGCAGAGGGGUCCAGGUGGGGGCCCUGGCCUGCCCUCGGGCGUCUGUCUCCAGGUCUGCCUAGGGCUUUGCUACGCAUAGUAGGUGCUCCUUGAGUGUGUGUUGAAACCAGCGAAAGAUUAGUCCAUCGCGCCUGCAGCAUCCCCCUCCUCCUGCGGGGCCCUCCCCAGGGCCCUGAUCUGAGGGCUGAAGAAGGGACGGCCUGGGUGUCCUGGGUCCUGAGAAAGGACCCCGAAAGAAGGAGGCCUGGGAGGGGGCUGGGCAGCCGCCUGGGGGAGGGGAGGCGCUGGGGGGGGGGAGAGAGCAGCAGGAGGAGGAAAAGAGGAAGUGAGGCGGCCAGAGGAAGAGGGAGGAGACCACGGGAGAGGAAGUGAACAGGUUCUCGGCUGGCCGGGAACUUUGCCCUCGCAGGCAGGGAGUUUUCAGAGCCGCCCGGGCAGGCGCACAGCCCCGGCCCCCCGGCCGCCCCCGCCCGUGGGGACCGUUCUUGCCUUUCCGGGGCUUUUUUCUUCUCUGCGGUCCCCUGCCCGCGAGGCCCCCAGGCGAGGGGACAUUUACAACCCACGCCAGAGACCAAGCCCGCCUCCUCCAGCCCAGGCCGCCCCGCUGGCUGCCCGGCUCUGGCCUGGGGGCCCCGCCGCUGCCCGCCCCUGCGGGGACCCCAAGGCACAUUUUUCAGAGGGAGACACUGAGCUGGGACCCAAAAGGGGGGGAGACCUCCCGCCGAGACCGCCGGCUCCGGGAGAGACCCUGCCAACAGUCCAGCAAACACGGCCCUUGUUACAGAUGCGGACACUGAGGCCGGGCUGGAAAAGGGCCCAGGGCACGGAGUCCCCUGUCGGGGGUUCGAGGUGCAGGGCCUGGAGGCCCCUCCCUGGGUAAAGUGUCCCCCUGCAGUGUCCCCAGGGACUGGGGCCAAAGGCUGUUCCAAAGUCUGAAUUCCUGGGUCCUUCCUUCUCAGUGCUUAUCUCCUAAGGCCCAGAGAGGCAGCCACUAGCCUCCGGUCACACCACCAGCGUCCUGAGGCUCCGAGCCUGCUCGCCCCGCCACCUCUUUCCUCGCCCGUCCUCGCCUGCUCCCAGAUGGUCUCCAGAGGAGAGUCUGGACCUCGGAAUUUACUGGACUUGGGGUUCCUCUGCCUCCUGCCCCACUUUGCCUCAACCUUCAGGGCCAGCUCUCGGGCUGCCCGCUCCAGGAAGCCUGCCAGGACUUGCUCCCCCCACCAGAACAGCUGUCACCUUCCUGCCCAGAGAGGGGAAGUGACCCAGCCAGGAUCACUCAGCAAGGGCACAGGCAGGAGCUCAACCUCCUGGAUCACGCUGCUCCUACAUCCCACACACCAGCCCCAGGCAGCCAGGCACGCUUCCAGAGAGGAACAGCACCAGACACUGUUUUGAGCAAUCCCCUGAAGAAGCAGAUGUGAUCCCUGAGACAGACCUCAAACAAGAGAACCAAAGAGAACAGGUUCUGAUGCCCAGGGAGGAGAGCAGUGGAUUUCCUGGGGCAGGCCUCUGGGGUGCCCAGCCAGCGGAGGGAGGCCGGACUGGGCCCUGCGUGCUCUCCUGGGCAUUCGCCAAGGCCUUGGUCCCCAGCCCAGCCUCCAGCCAGAGUCUGUCCCAGGGCUGUCACUAGGCAGCCUCCAGAUCCUCAGCCCGCCCUGGGGCGUCCCCUGCUCCCCGACGGAUAGAGUCAUCUGCCAAGGGGGAUCCCUGCCCCGGAGAAACUGGGAACUUGUGACACUUCCUGGGAGAGUUUUUAAAAAUCCUUAAAAACCACCCUCUCUCUUCCUGGCCCCAGGGCACCCUGGGGAACUGCCCAACCUCCUGGGGAGUCCCCAGCCCAGCCCACCUGAGUGAGUUUUUCAGAAAGAGAUGCGAUUUUCCCUGGCCAUCCCCGCUGCACACCCAGCUGAGCCCUCUCCUCGGAGCCCCGGGCCCUUCUGGGCCCGUUGUCCCCAUUCUCUGGAUAAGACCUCGAGGUGACCCGGGCAGACCCUGACUGCUGAGACGGGGCAGUCCCUCAGGGCCUGACAGUUGUCCCAGGCAGACUGGAGGCAUCCCAGCCUCACGCCCCACCAAGUUGUGGUCCCAGGGGGUCUCUGAGGUCCAUUCCUCACCCGGGCCCACAGUAGCCCACUGGGAGUGGCUGGUGGCCUGCCCGAGUCACCUGGAGGCCAAGGGAGCUGGCCCGGGACAGAGGCCUGAGAAGCUGGGUGACAGGUUGAACCAAGUGGGGUGGGGUCAGCCGCACUUCAAGUUCAGGCCAAGCGGGGUUCUGGAGGCUCCUGGGCCCAGCACCCCAAAGUGCUGGCAAACACACCUGCAUGAAUGGCACAGACAGGAGGCUGCGUGGACCCUACACCUUGGGCCUCUGUCUUGGGGCUGUGCAAAGGGGCAGGGAGCAUCUGGCUCCCAGGGGGCCGGGGGCAGUCAGUGACCUGGGCUCUCAAGUCUCAGGCCCAGGGCUGGGCGCCCAUGGCUGUGGUCGCCGUUGGGACACAGCCCCUUCCUGGCUGGUGGCCUUGCUCCUGAACCUUCCCUGCCUGGGCCGGGGGCUCAGAAAUGCCCUGGGAGCUGGGGGCAGGGGCAGUGGAAGUGCUGGGGGCUGCCCCUCCUGGAGGAAGUGAAAGGGGAACGAGCAGGAGGGGAGGGAGGUGUUGGGAGCGUGCCGGCGGGUGGGGCCAGGGCUGACUCACAGCCACAGCUCACCCACCUCAGGGUGCAGCCCGGCCACCCCGUCCACAGGAGGACGAGGGGAGGACAGAGUCCCCGAGGGCCCACCGCGAGCGGAGCCAAGCCGAGCCUGUGUCACCACGCAGAAAGUUCACCCCGCCCCACCCCGGCCAGGCAGGAAUCUCCCCAUUUCUCAGACAAGCCAACUGAGACCAGUGAGAGCCAGAGACCCGGCCUAGCAGUUAAUAGCCUGCGAUUCUCAGAAUGCACCAGAGCCUGGUGUGGGGUCAAGGCCCCUGGCCAGGCUCAAAGGGGCCGGCUGUGUCCCUGAGGCCCCAGCUGGGGAAACUGAGGCUCAGAGUGGCCAGUGGGCAGUGCAGAGCUGGGCUCCCUCCCUGGUGCCCAGGGCCCCACGUGGGGCCAGUCCUCAGCUGACGCCACUCCUCCAGCCUGGGGCCUGGGGCCCGGGCCCGGCCAAGUGGAAACCCGAUCGGCUCCCCCACGUAGCUGCGGAGCCAGGCCCUCCUGGGCCAGAAAUCUCAGCCGCCCGCUGGGCUGGCCAGAAACCUGAGCCUGCCCUGCGGCCAGAGCUUCAGUGCUGCCAGGGAUACAGAGGGGGGACCAAGCCCGGGCUGCACUGUCCGCUGGAGACACAGUCCUGACCCCGUGAGACUGGUUCUGUGCGAGCCCAGAGAAGCCCCAGCCACGGGCGUGGGUUUGGCAGGUCAGGCAGGGAAGGGGUUCCCUGGCACAAGGGCCGCUGGGGGGGACGGGGGCAGCAGGCAGGGCCCUCCCCCCUCCAUUUCCCAGGUCACUAGGGAAUGACUGGGGCUGUCACAUUCACUCACCUGGGCUGCUGAGACCCAUAGCCCUGGGGACACACAGAUGGACCUGAGGACACACGUGCCCACAGCUGGGACCAAGAACACAGGGUGGGGCUUGGUCCAGACCCAGGCAGGACUCAGCAAUAAACGCACUGCACACAGUGGGGCCACAUGCCAUGCCCUCUUAGCAAAGCCAGUGUGAAGGAGGCCCCUGAGCAGGCGGGGAGCCCCAGGAGAGAGCGUGCCAUCCACAAAGCAGGACUCGGUUCUUUCUCACCCCUGGAUGUCCUUGGAAAGUGACAAGGCAUCUCUGGGCCAACCGGGGACAGCAAGACCCUGCGUGGAUGACGCCGUCUGGCUGGGCCUCCCGGGCCUUUGAGGGGCCUGUCCCAGACAGCCUGGAAGCUGGCCAUCACCUGCCUACCUAUCAACAGGGAAGCCGAGGCCAGAGAUGGGCAGAGCUUACCCAGCGCCACAGAGCACAUGUGGCAGGCUGGGGUCCCGGCCUGAGGGCUGGGGGUUGGCCUUUUGUGUGCAGCCAGGACAGCAAGGACAAGGCCAGGUUUUCCGCGGGGAGAGCCAGGCUGGUCCGUCCAGCACAGGACAGGCCCCCACUCCACUUAGCCAAGAGGCAUGAUGGCUCUAAAGCCUGACCUGGGGAGUUGCCAUGGUGGCUCAGUGGGUUAAGAACCAGACUAGUAUCCAGCAGGACGUGGGUUCCAUCCCUGGCCUGGCUCAGUGGGUUAAAGGUCUGGCAUGGCUGUGAGCUGCAGCAUAGGUCGCAGACACGGCUGGGGUCUGGCAUGGCUGUGGCUGUGGCGUAGGUCGGCUGCUGCGGCUCUGAUUUGACCCCUAGCCUGGGAGCUUCCAUAUGCCAUGGGCGCGGCCCUAAAAAGACCAAAAAAAAAAAAAAAAAAAAAAGAAUUGGAUGGAAAGUUCUCAGUGCUCAGCUCCAAAGUCUCUCUGCUUGGACACAGGCAAGCUGGUUGGGAGUCUGUGGCCUUGGCAGACUAGCUCCCCUUCAUCACAGAGCCGCAGGGAGGGGACAGAUGCGCCAGCAGACGUGCUUGAGCAGAGCCUGCCCAGGGUGAGUACAGGGUGGCCGUGCAGGCGACUCGGGCCAGGAUCGCCCUGGCCCUGUGACAUGAAGGCCAUGGGACCACGUCUCGUCCCAGGCUUGCUGGAGGCUACAGGACCUGGGAGGGGCUCCAACAGGGGACAGCAGAGGCGGUGCACCCUGACCCCCCGGAGCCCCGUCUCAGUUGGUCCCCUCCAUCCUGGGCCAGCUCCCAGAGGAGGGGCCGUGAAGCCCUGGGGGAAAGACCUUCCGCUGUGUGUGUGUGUGUGUGUGCGCAUGCACACGUACUCAUGUGUUGUGUGCGCCUCUCCCGUGCCUGUCACACAUGAAGCAGGGCCCAGGAGGGGUGGGUGCUGAGGAGGGCGAGUGGGUGGCCACCACCUUCUCCUUCACGUCCUUCUGGGUUGUUCUUCCCGCAGAGAAUCCCGACACAGCGUUUGAGCAAGAAAGAGAGCGGCAAAGCGAGGAGAGAGGUGAGCAAAAGCCCUAAAGGGGCAUUUUAGACAAGAGGCCACGCGAAUCUUCGCAUGGCCAGGAAAGACAAAAGGAGCUCAACACCACGGGUCAUGCGGGAAAUGCAAAUAAAACCACGGCGAGAUACCACU
RNAcentral lists this long non-coding RNA (6309 nucleotides) under Sus scrofa (pig). Its description in RNAcentral is "lncRNA (ENSSSCG00060018557.1)". Lineage: Eukaryota; Metazoa; Chordata; Mammalia; Artiodactyla; Suidae. The record is from RNAcentral.